RNAcentral lists this ribosomal RNA (871 nucleotides) under Clostridium sp. Its description in RNAcentral is "bacterial SSU rRNA". It matches the Rfam family "Bacterial small subunit ribosomal RNA", at positions 34 to 941 of the family's 1533-position model. Lineage: Bacteria; Bacillati; Bacillota; Clostridia; Eubacteriales; Clostridiaceae. The record is from RNAcentral.
CCAUGGCGGCAUGCUACACAUGCAGUCGAGCGAUCUCUUCGGAGAGAGCGGCGGACGGGGAGUAACGCGUGGGUAACCUGCCCUGUACACACGGAUAACAUACCGAAAGGUAUACUAAUACGGGAUAACAUAUGAAAGUCGCAUGGCUUUUGUAUCAAAGCUCCGGCGGUACAGGAUGGACCCGCGUCUGAUUAGCUAGUUGGUAAGGUAAUGGCUUACCAAGGCAACGAUCAGUAGCCGACCUGAGAGGGUGAUCGGCCACACUGGAACUGAGACACGGUCCAGACUCCUACGGGAGGCAGCAGUGGGGAAUAUUGCACAAUGGGCGAAAGCCUGAUGCAGCAACGCCGCGUGAGCGAUGAAGGCCUUCGGGUCGUAAAGCUCUGUCCUCAAGGAAGAUAAUGACGGUACUUGAGGAGGAAGCCCCGGCUAACUACGUGCCAGCAGCCGCGGUAAUACGUAGGGGGCUAGCGUUAUCCGGAAUUACUGGGCGUAAAGGGUGCGUAGGUGGUUUUUUAAGUCAGAAGUGAAAGGCUACGGCUCAACCGUAGUAAGCUUUUGAAACUAGAGAACUUGAGUGCAGGAGAGGAGAGUAGAAUUCCUAGUGUAGCGGUGAAAUGCGUAGAUAUUAGGAGGAAUACCAGUAGCGAAGGCGGCUCUCUGGACUGUAACUGACACUGAGGCACGAAAGCGUGGGGAGCAAACAGGAUUAGAUACCCUGGUAGUCCACGCCGUAAACGAUGAGUACUAGGUGUCGGGGUUACCCCCCUCGGUGCCGCAGCUAACGCAUUAAGUACUCCGCCUGGGAAGUACGCUCGCAAGAGUGAAACUCAGAGAAAUUGACGGGACAGACCACAGGGAGUACGGCCAC